GUGUCAGGCUGUUGUCUCAUAAAUGUAUAUCCCACAUACUUACUUAUUGAUAUAACAUUGUGGAAUUUGCAUUUAAGAAAUACUCAUUAUUAUUCAUUUAUCAAAAGGUAUCAUUCAUGAAAAUAUUUUUAUUUGAACAGUUAAUUUAUACAAGCAUUACUUGACAACAACUGAUUCUAAGAUUUUUAAAUUUGUGGAAAUGAAUAACUGAAUAUUGAA
This 219-nucleotide long non-coding RNA is filed under the name Mytilus galloprovincialis (Mediterranean mussel). The record is from RNAcentral. Lineage: Eukaryota; Metazoa; Mollusca; Bivalvia; Mytilida; Mytilidae.